UGUUACGUCUGCACUGUGUCUCAAAGAAA
RNAcentral lists this non-coding RNA (29 nucleotides) under Rattus norvegicus (Norway rat). The record is from RNAcentral. Lineage: Eukaryota; Metazoa; Chordata; Mammalia; Rodentia; Muridae.